RNAcentral lists this ribosomal RNA (565 nucleotides) under uncultured bacterium. RNAcentral describes it as "bacterial SSU rRNA". It matches the Rfam family "Bacterial small subunit ribosomal RNA", at positions 132 to 729 of the family's 1533-position model. The record is from RNAcentral.
GCUCCUGCGGAAUAGCUCUGGGAAACUGGAAUUAAUACCGCAUACGCCCUACGGGGGAAAGAUUUAUCGGGGAAGGAUUGGCCCGCGUUGGAUUAGCUAGUUGGUGGGGUAAAGGCCUACCAAGGCGACGAUCCAUAGCUGGUCUGAGAGGAUGAUCAGCCACAUUGGGACUGAGACACGGCCCAAACUCCUACGGGAGGCAGCAGUGGGGAAUAUUGGACAAUGGGCGCAAGCCUGGCAUCCAGCCAUGCCGCGUGAGUGAUGAAGGCCUUAGGGUUGUAAAGCUCUUUCACCGAUGAAGAUAAUGACGGUAGUCGGAGAAGAAGCCCCGGCUAACUUCGUGCCAGCAGCCGCGGUAAUACGAAGGGGGCUAGCGUUGUUCGGAAUUACUGGGCGUAAAGCGCACGUAGGCGGAUAUUUAAGUCAGGGGUGAAAUCCCGCAGCUCAACUGCGGAACUGCCUUUGAUACUGGGUAUCUUGAGUAUGGAAGAGGUAAGUGGAAUUCCGAGUGUAGAGGUGAAAUUCGUAGAUAUUCGGAGGAACACCAGUGGCGAAGGCGGCUUAU